This 459-nucleotide ribosomal RNA is filed under the name uncultured bacterium. RNAcentral's name for it is "partial 16S ribosomal RNA". It matches the Rfam family "Bacterial small subunit ribosomal RNA", at positions 338 to 795 of the family's 1533-position model. The record is from RNAcentral.
CCUACGGGCGGCAGCAGUGAGGAAUAUUGGUCAAUGGGCGCGAGCCUGAACCAGCCAAGUAGCGUGAAGGAUGACUGCCCUACGGGUUGUAAACUUCUUUUAUAAAGGAAUAAAGUGAGGCACGUGUGCAUUUUUGUUUGUACUUUAUGAAUAAGGAUCGGCUAACUCCGUGCCAGCAGCCGCGGUAAUACGGAGGAUCCGAGCGUUAUCCGGAUUUAUUGGGUUUAAAGGGAGCGUAGGUGGAUUGUUAAGUCAGUUGUGAAAGUUUGCGGCUAAACCGUAAAAUUGCAGGUGAAACUGGCAGUUGUGAGUACAGUAGGGGUGGGCGGAAUUCGUGGUGUAGCGGUGAAUGCUUAGAUAUCACGAAGAACUCCGAUUGCGAAGGCAGCUCACUGGACUGCAACUGACACUGAUGCUCGAAAGUGUGGGUAUCAAACAGGAUUAGAUACCCCGGUAGUC